Molecule: small nucleolar RNA, 138 nt
Organism: Sander lucioperca (pikeperch)
Lineage: Eukaryota; Metazoa; Chordata; Actinopteri; Perciformes; Percidae
Source: Ensembl
CUGCAGACCUUUCCAGCGAGGCCAAGCCUGCAGUGGUUAUGUCCUUUCCUGUAGUGUCUGCUAGAGAGAGAUGAGGUCUGUUUGAGGCCCUGCUGUGUGACUCUUCAUGGCAGGGUUAUAGGUAAACCUCAGACAAAC